RNAcentral lists this ribosomal RNA (553 nucleotides) under uncultured bacterium. RNAcentral describes it as "partial 16S ribosomal RNA". It matches the Rfam family "Bacterial small subunit ribosomal RNA", at positions 356 to 900 of the family's 1533-position model. The record is from RNAcentral.
AGGGAAUCUUCCACAAUGGACGCAAGUCUGAUGGAGCAACGCCGCGUGAGUGAAGAAGGUUUUCGGACCGUAAAGCUCUGUUGUUGGUGAAGAAGGAUAGAGGUAGUAACUGGCCUUUAUUUGACGGUAAUCAACCAGAAAGUCACGGCUAACUACGUGCCAGCAGCCGCGGUAAUACGUAGGUGGCAAGCGUUGUCCGGAUUUAUUGGGCGUAAAGCGAGCGCAGGCGGAAGAAUAAGUCUGAUGUGAAAGCCCUCGGCUUAACCGAGGAAUUGCAUCGGAAACUGUUUUCUUGAGUGCAGAAGAGGAGAGUAGAACUCCAUGUGUAGCGGUGGAAUGCGUAGAUAUAUGGAAGAAUACCAGUGGCGAAGGCGGCUCUCUGGUCUGCAACUGACGCUGAGGCUCGAAAGCAUGGGUAGCGAACAGGAUUAGAUACCCUGGUGGUCCAUGCCGUAAACGAUGAGUGCUAAGUGUUGGGAGGCUUCCGCCUCUCAGUGCUGCAGCUAACGCAUUAAGCACUCCGCCUGGGGGAGUACGACCGCAAGGUUGAAAC